CACGUAGGGUGCGAGCGUUGUCCGGAAUUAUUGGGCGUAAAGAGCUCGUAGGCGGUGUGUCGCGUCGGCCGUGAAAACCUGCAGCUUAACUGUGGGCUUGCGGUCGAUACGGGCAUCACUGGAGUUCGGCAGGGGAGACUGGAAUUCCUGGUGUAGCGGUGAAAUGCGUAGAUAUCAGGAGGAACACCGGUGGCGAAGGCGGGUCUCUGGGCCGAUACUGACGCUGAGGAGCGAAAGCGUGGGGAGCGAACAGG
RNAcentral lists this ribosomal RNA (254 nucleotides) under uncultured bacterium. Its description in RNAcentral is "partial 16S ribosomal RNA". It matches the Rfam family "Bacterial small subunit ribosomal RNA", at positions 524 to 776 of the family's 1533-position model. The record is from RNAcentral.